UUGGUGAAGAUCUUAGAUGGGCCCCUUUGU
Molecule: non-coding RNA, 30 nt
Filed under: Mus musculus (house mouse)
Lineage: Eukaryota; Metazoa; Chordata; Mammalia; Rodentia; Muridae
Source: RNAcentral